CUGCUGCCUUCCGUAGGAGUUUGGGCCGUGUCUCAGUCCCAAUGUGGCCGUCCGCCCUCUCAGGCCGGCUACUGAUCGUCGCUUUGGUGGGCCUCUACCCCGCCAACUGGCUAAUCAGACGCGGGCCCCUCCCAUACCACUAUUGUUUUUCACACAGAACCAUGCGGUCCCGUGCGCUUAUGCGGUAUUAGCAGCCGUUUCCGGCUGUUAUCCCCCUGUAUGGGGCAGGUUGCCCACGCGUUACUCACCCGUCCGCCA
This 258-nucleotide ribosomal RNA is filed under the name uncultured bacterium. RNAcentral's name for it is "partial 16S ribosomal RNA". The record is from RNAcentral.